Molecule: long non-coding RNA, 379 nt
Organism: Rhincodon typus (whale shark)
Lineage: Eukaryota; Metazoa; Chordata; Chondrichthyes; Orectolobiformes; Rhincodontidae
Exons: 3
Source: RefSeq, a predicted model, not a curated record
AACGGAAGAGUCUGUUAUUCCACACGGGAGUCAACCCAGUCUUGGUUCAACAUAAUUGAUCAACUUUGGGUGUGUGUGUGACAUUUGAUCCAUUACGUCCUUACCCCUUCCCUCAUAUGGAAGCUUGAAACUGAUAAUUCAAGGGGAAACCCAACAUUUAUACUGCAUGAAAGGAGGAUGCUGAUUGAUUGGAUUCCCAAGCGGAAUAUGAGUUGCUGUUCCUGCAACCUUCGGGUUGCAGCGUCGUGGCACUGCAGGAGGCCCAGGAUGGACAUGUCGUCUGAGGAAUGGGAGGAGGAGUUGAAAUGGUUCGUGACUGGGAGGUGUUACCUCAGAUUCUCCAGCAUCUGCAGUUCCUGCUAUCUAUAUAAGUGGAGGA